Molecule: non-coding RNA, 113 nt
Organism: Acanthosepion pharaonis
Lineage: Eukaryota; Metazoa; Mollusca; Cephalopoda; Sepiida; Sepiidae
Source: the annotation of a GenBank genome assembly
UUAUGGCCAUAUGACAUUGAAACAGCGGCUGACAUCCGAUCACCAAAAUUAAGCAACGUUGAACCUGUCCAGUACCGAGAUGGGUGACCGCUUACGAAAACCAGGUGCUGUAA